AGUGAACGCUGGCGGUAGGCCUAACACAUGCAAGUCGAACGGCAGCACAGUAAGAGCUUGCUCUUACGGGUGGCGAGUGGCGGACGGGUGAGGAAUACAUCGGAAUCUACUUUUUCGUGGGGGAUAACGUAGGGAAACUUACGCUAAUACCGCAUACGACCUACGGGUGAAAGCAGGGGAUCUUCGGACCUUUCGCGAUUGAAUGAGCCGAUGUCGGAUUAGCUAGUUGGCGGGGUAAAGGCCCGCCAAGGCGACGAUCCGUAGCUGGUCUGAGAGGAUGAUCAGCCACACUGGAACUGAGACACGGUCCAGACUCCUACGGGAGGCAGCAGUGGGGAAUAUUGGACAAUGGGCGAAAGCCUGAUCCAGCCAUACCGCGUGAGUGAAGAAGGCCUUCGGGUUGUAAAGCCCUUUUGUUGGGAAAGAAAAGCAGCAGGUUAAUACCCCGCUGUUCUGACGGUACCCAAAGAAUAAGCACCGGCUAACUUCGUG
This 492-nucleotide ribosomal RNA is filed under the name uncultured bacterium. RNAcentral's name for it is "partial 16S ribosomal RNA". It matches the Rfam family "Bacterial small subunit ribosomal RNA", at positions 29 to 507 of the family's 1533-position model. The record is from RNAcentral.